Molecule: ribosomal RNA, 497 nt
Filed under: uncultured bacterium
Lineage: Bacteria
Description: partial 16S ribosomal RNA
Rfam family: Bacterial small subunit ribosomal RNA
Source: RNAcentral
GAUGAACGCUGGCGGCGUGCCUAAUACAUGCAAGUCGAGCGAACGGACGAGAAGCUUGCUUCUCUGAUGUUAGCGGCGGACGGGUGAGUAACACGUGGAUAACCUACCUAUAAGACUGGGAUAACUUCGGGAACCCGGAGCUAAUACCGGAUAAUAUUUUGAACCGCAUGGUUCAAAAGUGAAAGACGGUCUUGCUGUCACUUAUAGAUGGAUCCGCGCUGCAUUAGCUAGUUGGUAAGGUAACGGCUUACCAAGGCAACGAUGCAUAGCCGACCUGAGAGGGUGAUCGGCCACACUGGAACGGAGACACGGUCCAGACUCCUACGGGAGGCAGCAGUAGGGAAUCUUCCGCAAUGGGCGAAAGCCUGACGGAGCAACGCCGCGUGAGUGAUGAAGGUCUUCGGAUCGGAAAACUCUGUUAUUAGGGAAGAACAUAUGUGUAAGUAACUGUGCACAUCGUGACGGUACCUAAUCAGAGAGCCACGGCUAACUACGUG